GACGGAGGGGGCUAGCGUUAUUCGGAAUUAUUGGGCGUAAAGGGUGCGUAGGUGGUUUGUUAAGUUGGAAGUGAAAGCCUGGGGCUCAACCCCAGAAUUGCUUUCAAAACUGAUAAGCUAGAGUGUGAUAGAGGGUGAUGGAAUUCCUAGUGUAGAGGUGAAAUUCUUAGAUAUUAGGAGGAACACCAAUGGCGAAAGCAGUCACCUGGGUCAAUACUGACACUGAGGCACGAAAGCGUGGGGAGCAAACAGG
This 253-nucleotide unclassified non-coding RNA is filed under the name uncultured Rickettsiales bacterium. Its description in RNAcentral is "contains 16S-23S intergenic spacer region". It matches the Rfam family "Bacterial small subunit ribosomal RNA", at positions 524 to 776 of the family's 1533-position model. The record is from RNAcentral. Lineage: Bacteria; Pseudomonadati; Pseudomonadota; Alphaproteobacteria; Rickettsiales.